Molecule: ribosomal RNA, 495 nt
Filed under: Salmonella enterica
Lineage: Bacteria; Pseudomonadati; Pseudomonadota; Gammaproteobacteria; Enterobacterales; Enterobacteriaceae
Also listed under: 1 other name
Description: partial 23S ribosomal RNA
Rfam family: Bacterial large subunit ribosomal RNA
Source: RNAcentral
CCGAACCGACUAAUGUUGAAAAAUUAGCGGAUGACCUGUGGCUGGGGGUGAAAGGCCAAUCAAACCGGGAGAUAGCUGGUUCUCCCCGAAAGCUAUUUAGGUAGCGCCUCGUGAAUUCAUCUCCGGGGGUAGAGCACUGUUUCGGCUAGGGGGCCAUCCCGGCUUACCAACCCGAUGCAAACUGCGAAUACCGGAGAAUGUUAUCACGGGAGACACACGGCGGGUGCUAACGUCCGUCGUGAAGAGGGAAACAACCCAGACCGCCAGCUAAGGUCCCAAAGUCAUGGUUAAGUGGGAAACGAUGUGGGAAGGCCCAGACAGCCAGGAUGUUGGCUUAGAAGCAGCCAUCAUUUAAAGAAAGCGUAAUAGCUCACUGGUCGAGUCGGCCUGCGCGGAAGAUGUAACGGGGCUAAACCAUGCACCGAAGCUGCGGCAGCGACACUGUGUGUUGUUGGGUAGGGGAGCGUUCUGUAAGCCUGUGAAGGUGUGUCGUGA